Molecule: unclassified non-coding RNA, 331 nt
Filed under: soil metagenome
Description: partial contains 5.8S ribosomal RNA, internal transcribed spacer 2, and large subunit ribosomal RNA
Rfam family: 5.8S ribosomal RNA (bases 1-122)
Source: RNAcentral
GAUGAAGAACGCAGCGAAAUGCGAUACGUAAUGUGAAUUGCAGAUCUCUCAGUGAAUCAUCGAAUCUUUGAACGCACAUUGCGCCCCUUGGUAUCCCGAGGGGCAUGCCUGUUCGAGCGUCAUUUCACCACUCAAGCCUGGCUUGGUGUUGGGCGACGUCCUCUUUGGGGACGCGCCUCGAAACGCUCGGCGGCGUGGCACCGGCUUUAAGCGUAGCAGAAUCUUUCGCUUUGGAAGUCGGGGCCCCGUCUGCCGGAAGACCUGCUCGCAAGGUUGACCUCGGAUCAGGCAGGGAUACCCGCUGAACUUAAGCAUAUCAAUAAGCGGAGGA